UCAUUAAAUCGGUUGGAAUCUACACGAGAGUGUAUUUAGAUGGAUAACCACGGAAAAUCUGCGGCUAAUACAUGCAGGAAAGCUCCGCAAGGAGUAGCAUUUAUCAGCUUGAGAUGGAUGCUGGGGUAACUCAGCUUGGUGAGUCAUGAUAAAGAUGCUGAUCGCAUGAGCUUGUUCUCGGCGACAGUUCGUUCGACCUUCCGCCCUAUCAACUUUGGAUGGUAGUGUAGUGGACUACCAUGGUGUUUACGGGUGACGGAGAAUUAGGGUUCGGUUCCGGAGAGGGAGCCUGAGAGAUGGCUACUACUUCCAAGGAAGGCAGCAGGCGCGAAAAUUGCCAAACCAACUAAGUUGGAGGCAGUGACAAUAAAUAUCUGCGGGUUCUAUGAAUCCGACUGGAAUGAGAUGGAUGUAAACAAUCCUGCGAGUAUCAAUUGGAGGAAAAGUCUGGUGCCAGCACCCGCGGUAAUUCCAGCUCCAAGAGCGUAUAUUCAAGUUGCUGCAGUUAAAAAGCUCGUAGUUGGGUGGGGGAUGAAAGGUAGAAGGAGAAGGGGAACCGGAUCUGAAAACUUUUUAUCCAUUUAUGGAGAGUAGCUUGAUGAAUGACCUUAAUUGGUUGUUUAUUAUAGCCUCUCCCGUUGACCGUGCUUAAAUUCGCGUGUUCAAAGCAAGCAAAUUUCGCUUGAAGAGUCUAGCAUGGGAUCAUAAAAUAUGAAGUUUACUCAAUUGUCUAUCUCUUGAGUAUGACUUAAUGACAAAUAGGGGCAAGCGGGGGCGGAGGGAUUCCGUUGUUAGAGGUGAAAUUCUUAGACCAACGGAGGACCAACAGAAGCCAAAGCGUCCGUCAAGGGUGUACCCAUUGAUCAAGAACGAAAGUUAGGGGAUCAAAUACGAUCAGACACCGUAGUAGUCCUAACCUUAAACGAUACCGACCGGGGAUGGGGAGAGGUAAUACUCUUAACCCUUCCUGUACCCUGCGAGAAAUCAAGAGUGCUUGGGUU
This 1001-nucleotide ribosomal RNA is filed under the name uncultured eukaryote. RNAcentral describes it as "SSU rRNA". It matches the Rfam family "Eukaryotic small subunit ribosomal RNA", at positions 98 to 1113 of the family's 1831-position model. The record is from RNAcentral.